This is a non-coding RNA of Lactifluus volemus, 93 nucleotides long. The record is from the annotation of a GenBank genome assembly. Lineage: Eukaryota; Fungi; Basidiomycota; Agaricomycetes; Russulales; Russulaceae.
GGCCCAAUGGUCUAGUGGUACGAUGCUCGCUUUGGGUAAAGCUUACAGCUGUCACUCUGCGAGCGGUCCUGGGUUCGAACCCCAGUUGGGCCC